UGUAUGCAUUUCCUCAUAAUGAAUAACCAUCACGUAGACGAAGGGAUCAUCAGUAAAUUGUAAAAGAAAAUCGCAAAUGAUACCAAGACUGCUAAUAAGGCUGACUCACCAACCAAACGCCAAAUUUAGCAAAGAUGACAAACAUUUUCAUUGAUUGCUCUGAAAAGUGGCUAAUGAACUUGUAGUAUAUGUAUAUAUAUGUAUGUAUAAUUAGAUAGUUAAUAUAAUGUGUAAUUACGUAGGGCUGUUAUAGCCUAGAGGCCAGUGUAUUGUUCUAUUUGAAUCAAGUAUUGUAGUGUCCAGGUUCGAAGCAGGCCCAAACUGUACUCGGGCCAGACGUGGUUGGUGUCGGUAGUUCACCACCAGCUAUCCGACAAUAUACGUUGUCUGCCUCACGCGCUGUCUUUUUCUCCUGCCUCAAGACAAUACACUGGCGACGAGGAUUCAAGGCUUAGCUGGUUUAUCUCUACCAUGCCUGUUUACGGCCAGCUGGAAAAAUUCCAAGUGGGGCAAGACUGGGCACAGUAUGUGGCAGUGCUCAAGAACUACCUCCGUGCCAACAGCGUUACCGACGCUGUCAAGCAAAGGCAGAUACUGCUUGCCUCCGUAGGGAUGGAAACCUACCAGCUGAUGUGCACUCUACUGGCGCCUGACAGCCCGGAAUCAAAAUCGUUUGAGGAGUUGGUGUAGGCGGUUCAGGAUCAUGUCAAGCCACCCCCUAGCAGAAUAGCAGCACGCUACAAGUUCUACACGCUAUCACGCAAGGAGGGGGAGUCUAUCGCAGACUUCGUGGUGAAUCUGAGGAGGGCUGCUCAGGACUGCAAGUUUGAGGACUUGAGCGAAUACCUUCGUGACCGCUUCAUCGUUGCUGUUGGAGACAAAAUGAUACAAACCAAGUUGCUGUCCAUGGCUGAUGGCUGAUGAAGUAAGCUUUAAUGAAGCCCUACAAGCCCUACUAGCCAUGGAAUCUGAAGAACUGCAUGCUUCUAACAUACAGGCGGCUCAGGAGGCCGUCAAGGUUCCAGCAGUUAACAAGAUAACUACCGCGCCUCGGGGGCCAUGUUUUGGUUGUGGUGGUGACCAUUUACGCCGGAGUGUAAACAUAAGGACGCGGUCUGCAGCUCCUGUGGCAGGUCAGGACUCCUCAGUCGAGUGUGUCGCGCCUCUGACCGUGCUCGGCCCUCCAUCGUCCCUGCCAGGCGGAAGAACUACGCGAGGAAUAAAACCCAUCGCUCUACCUAUGUGAUCAAGGACAAGGAAGACUGAACUUCAUUGGGUGCUGACAGCAGCGAGGAUUCAGCACACCGGCCUGGAAGACAUCUUAACAGAGUAUGCGGAUGUGUUCACUUCAGGCUUAAAUGGUUGUCUCCUGUGGGGCUCCCGUGUGGUGGUGCCUGAUGGUUGUCGUGCAUCUGUACUCGAUAUGCUACACCACACUCACCUUGGUAUGACAAGAAUGAAGGCAACGGCACGUAGCUAUGUUUGGUGGCCAGGCAUCGAUAAGGAUAUUGAAAACGCCGUCAAAACCUGUCCAGAAUGCGAUGCCCUCCAAAAUGCUCCUCCCGUGGCUGAACUACAUCCGUGGGAAUGGCCUUCUACACCUUGGUCAAAAGUGCAUGUCGACCAUGCUGGCCCCUUCCUGGGUAAGAUUUUCUGAAUUCUUAUUGAUUCUCACUCAAAGUGGCUCGAGGUGAAGAUGGUUCCUGGCACCUCGACAGCUGCAACAGUGGACGCCCUUAAUACUAUCUUCGCCACUCAUGGUCUACCUGCAAUGCUCGUCACUGAUAAUGGUACUGCAUUCACCAGUGAGAGGUUCGGUAAGUAUUGCCUUGACAGCGGAAUACGGCACGUGAGAACAGCCCCACGACAUCCAUCUACAAAUGGGUUGGCGGAAAGGGCUGUUCAUAUAUUCAAAUCCAGCAUCAUGAAGAUAGGAGAGUCUCUCCCAUGGAAUGCGCGCAUCAACAAAUUCCUUUAACUUAUCACACAAUUCCCCAGAGUACCAGAUCUU
RNAcentral lists this unclassified non-coding RNA (2011 nucleotides) under Portunus trituberculatus (swimming crab). Its description in RNAcentral is "uncharacterized LOC123508150, transcript variant X1". Lineage: Eukaryota; Metazoa; Arthropoda; Malacostraca; Decapoda; Portunidae. The record is from RNAcentral.